UGUCCUCCAUAGGAGGUCUAUAUUGAGCAGAUUCUUUUUGGUAUUGGGUGGUGGAACUGGAGCGUGCUCCAUCCAUUCCAUGCAUUGACCUGGUAUUGCAGUGCUUCCAGGACCGGUGC
This 119-nucleotide small nuclear RNA is filed under the name Crocodylus porosus (Australian saltwater crocodile). RNAcentral's name for it is "U2 spliceosomal RNA (ENSCPRG00005018367.1)". It matches the Rfam family "U2 spliceosomal RNA", at positions 67 to 185 of the family's 192-position model. From Rfam's summary of the family: U2 is a small nuclear RNA (snRNA) component of the spliceosome (involved in pre-mRNA splicing). Complementary binding between U2 snRNA (in an area lying towards the 5' end but 3' to hairpin I) and the branchpoint sequence (BPS) of the intron results the bulging out of an unpaired adenosine, on the BPS, which initiates a nucleophilic attack at the intronic 5' splice site, thus starting the first of two transesterification reactions that mediate splicing. Lineage: Eukaryota; Metazoa; Chordata; Crocodylia; Crocodylidae. The record is from RNAcentral.